Molecule: ribosomal RNA, 2926 nt
Filed under: Escherichia fergusonii
Lineage: Bacteria; Pseudomonadati; Pseudomonadota; Gammaproteobacteria; Enterobacterales; Enterobacteriaceae
Description: 23S ribosomal RNA
Rfam family: Bacterial large subunit ribosomal RNA
Source: RNAcentral
GGGUUGUGAGGUUAAGCGACUAAGCGUACACGGUGGAUGCCCUGGCAGUCAGAGGCGAUGAAGGACGUGCUAAUCUGCGAUAAGCGUCGGUAAGGUGAUAUGAACCGUUAUAACCGGCGAUUUCCGAAUGGGGAAACCCAGUGUGUUUCGACACACUAUCAUUAACUGAAUCCAUAGGUUAAUGAGGCGAACCGGGGGAACUGAAACAUCUAAGUACCCCGAGGAAAAGAAAUCAACCGAGAUUCCCCCAGUAGCGGCGAGCGAACGGGGAGGAGCCCAGAGCCUGAAUCAGUGUGUGUGUUAGUGGAAGCGUCUGGAAAGGCGCGCGAUACAGGGUGACAGCCCCGUACACAAAAAUGCACAUAUUGUGAGCUCGAUGAGUAGGGCGGGACACGUGGUAUCCUGUCUGAAUAUGGGGGGACCAUCCUCCAAGGCUAAAUACUCCUGACUGACCGAUAGUGAACCAGUACCGUGAGGGAAAGGCGAAAAGAACCCCGGCGAGGGGAGUGAAAAAGAACCUGAAACCGUGUACGUACAAGCAGUGGGAGCCUCUUUAUGGGGUGACUGCGUACCUUUUGUAUAAUGGGUCAGCGACUUAUAUUCUGUAGCAAGGUUAACCGAAUAGGGGAGCCGAAGGGAAACCGAGUCUUAACUGGGCGUUAAGUUGCAGGGUAUAGACCCGAAACCCGGUGAUCUAGCCAUGGGCAGGUUGAAGGUUGGGUAACACUAACUGGAGGACCGAACCGACUAAUGUUGAAAAAUUAGCGGAUGACUUGUGGCUGGGGGUGAAAGGCCAAUCAAACCGGGAGAUAGCUGGUUCUCCCCGAAAGCUAUUUAGGUAGCGCCUCGUGAAUUCAUCUCCGGGGGUAGAGCACUGUUUCGGCAAGGGGGUCAUCCCGACUUACCAACCCGAUGCAAACUGCGAAUACCGGAGAAUGUUAUCACGGGAGACACACGGCGGGUGCUAACGUCCGUCGUGAAGAGGGAAACAACCCAGACCGCCAGCUAAGGUCCCAAAGUCAUGGUUAAGUGGGAAACGAUGUGGGAAGGCCCAGACAGCCAGGAUGUUGGCUUAGAAGCAGCCAUCAUUUAAAGAAAGCGUAAUAGCUCACUGGUCGAGUCGGCCUGCGCGGAAGAUGUAACGGGGCUAAACCAUGCACCGAAGCUGCGGCAGCGACGCUUAUGCGUUGUUGGGUAGGGGAGCGUUCUGUAAGCCUGCGAAGGUGUGCUGUGAGGCAUGCUGGAGGUAUCAGAAGUGCGAAUGCUGACAUAAGUAACGAUAAAGCGGGUGAAAAGCCCGCUCGCCGGAAGACCAAGGGUUCCUGUCCAACGUUAAUCGGGGCAGGGUGAGUCGACCCCUAAGGCGAGGCCGAAAGGCGUAGUCGAUGGGAAACAGGUUAAUAUUCCUGUACUUGGUGUUACUGCGAAGGGGGGACGGAGAAGGCUAUGUUGGCCGGGCGACGGUUGUCCCGGUUUAAGCGUGUAGGCUGGUUUUCCAGGCAAAUCCGGAAAAUCAAGGCUGAGGCGUGAUGACGAGGCACUACGGUGCUGAAGCAACAAAUGCCCUGCUUCCAGGAAAAGCCUCUAAGCAUCAGGUAACAACAAAUCGUACCCCAAACCGACACAGGUGGUCAGGUAGAGAAUACCAAGGCGCUUGAGAGAACUCGGGUGAAGGAACUAGGCAAAAUGGUGCCGUAACUUCGGGAGAAGGCACGCUGAUAUGUAGGUGAAGCGACUUGCUCGUGGAGCUGAAAUCAGUCGAAGAUACCAGCUGGCUGCAACUGUUUAUUAAAAACACAGCACUGUGCAAACACGAAAGUGGACGUAUACGGUGUGACGCCUGCCCGGUGCCGGAAGGUUAAUUGAUGGGGUUAGCGGUAACGCGAAGCUCUUGAUCGAAGCCCCGGUAAACGGCGGCCGUAACUAUAACGGUCCUAAGGUAGCGAAAUUCCUUGUCGGGUAAGUUCCGACCUGCACGAAUGGCGUAAUGAUGGCCAGGCUGUCUCCACCCGAGACUCAGUGAAAUUGAACUCGCUGUGAAGAUGCAGUGUACCCGCGGCAAGACGGAAAGACCCCGUGAACCUUUACUAUAGCUUGACACUGAACAUUGAGCCUUGAUGUGUAGGAUAGGUGGGAGGCUUUGAAGUGUGGACGCCAGUCUGCAUGGAGCCGGCCUUGAAAUACCACCCUUUAAUGUUUGAUGUUCUAACGUUGGCCCGUAAUCCGGGUUGCGGACAGUGUCUGGUGGGUAGUUUGACUGGGGCGGUCUCCUCCUAAAGAGUAACGGAGGAGCACGAAGGUUGGCUAAUCCUGGUCGGACAUCAGGAGGUUAGUGCAAUGGCAUAAGCCAGCUUGACUGCGAGCGUGACGGCGCGAGCAGGUGCGAAAGCAGGUCAUAGUGAUCCGGUGGUUCUGAAUGGAAGGGCCAUCGCUCAACGGAUAAAAGGUACUCCGGGGAUAACAGGCUGAUACCGCCCAAGAGUUCAUAUCGACGGCGGUGUUUGGCACCUCGAUGUCGGCUCAUCACAUCCUGGGGCUGAAGUAGGUCCCAAGGGUAUGGCUGUUCGCCAUUUAAAGUGGUACGCGAGCUGGGUUUAGAACGUCGUGAGACAGUUCGGUCCCUAUCUGCCGUGGGCGCUGGAGAACUGAGGGGGGCUGCUCCUAGUACGAGAGGACCGGAGUGGACGCAUCACUGGUGUUCGGGUUGUCAUGCCAAUGGCACUGCCCGGUAGCUAAAUGCGGAAGAGAUAAGUGCUGAAAGCAUCUAAGCACGAAACUUGCCCCGAGAUGAGUUCUCCCUGACCCUUUAAGGGUCCUGAAGGAACGUUGAAGACGACGACGUUGAUAGGCCGGGUGUGUAAGCGCAGCGAUGCGUUGAGCUAACCGGUACUAAUGAACCGUGAGGCUUAACCUUACAACGCCGAAG